CGGCAUAUUUAUCGUCACACUGGAAACGUCAGAAACGAGGCAUAGCAAACGAGGCAAACGGCGACGGCGACAGCAACUUAGAAAAGCAUAAACGGAGAAGAGAGUUGGAGAGUUUCGGGCAGCCCAGGGCGUGUGAUAGCAACUGCAAUAAGUGCUAAAUAGAUUAAUCCCGAGACACAGUGACAUCGCAAGCAGCAAAAUGAGCGGCGGAGGCAUGGACAAGAGAAAACUCUCCACAUCGGGGGACUCGCUGUACGAGAUCCUGGGACUUCCGAAGACUGCCACCGGAGACGAUAUCAAGAAGACUUACCGGAAGCUGGCACUCAAAUACCAUCCGGACAAGAACCCCGACAACGUCGAUGCUUCCGAUAAGUUCAAGGAGGUAAACCGGGCGCACUCGAUUCUGAGCGACCAGACCAAACGCAAUAUCUACGACAACUAUGGCUCCCUGGGACUGUAUAUAGCCGAGCAGUUCGGCGAGGAAAAUGUGAAUGCAUACUUUGUGGUCACAUCGCCGGCGGUGAAGGCCUUGUUUAUCUGCUGCGCAGUGGUCACCGGCUGCUGCUGCUGUUGCUGCUGCUGCUGCUGUUGCAACUUCUGCUGCGGCAAGUUCAAGCCGCCGGUCAACGAAUCGCACGACCAGUAUGCACAUCUGAACCGCCCCGAUGGCAAUCGAGAGGCUAGUGAUCUGCCACCGCACCUGGGACAGCAGCCACGUCUUGAGGACGUUGAUCUGGACGACGUGAAUCUUGGUGCGGGCGGAGGCCCCGUCACCUCGCAGCCACGCGAGCAGUCCGGAGGACAGCCCGUCUUCGCCAUGCCACCGCCCAGUGGAGCAGCUGUGGGCGUGAAUCCAUUCACCGGCGCCCCCGUGGCGGCCAACGAGAACACGUCGCUGAACACCACAGAGCAGACAACAUACACGCCAGGUAUAUAAAGAGUCGAGCCAGCCAGCCAGCAGUCGGGGUCGAAGGUGGCAAGUGGCAUAGAAACGUAUCCCUAAAGCGUCUUUGACCAUCGAACUUGUUAAAUAUAUGGUUAAUCAAAAAUAUUAGGCGAGCCCAAGCCCCCUGUGCAUGCUUACGUUUCAGAUAUAGACACAGACACAUAAACAGAAACAGAACAGAAGAAAAGUUAAGCAGAGCAAAAGCUGAUUUAUUUGAUAACUAUUAGAAUUGUUUUUAAGAUGAGUGCCCGUUAUGUUGAAACGAGAAAACAUAUAACUUAUGUAUUACUGUAAGCUGUAGCACUUAACUCUAAUUUUAAAUAAUUAUACUUUGAGGCGGCGCUGCCAGCUUCCAAUUAAUGCAAAUGCAGAUGCAGAUGCCGAUGCCGAUGCCAGUCAGGGUUGAUUUUGGUCCAUAAUUCGUGUAACCGUUUCAUCAUUUCCAUUGUUCAGGCCAGGCCCCUCAGGUCUGCACCCGUGUACGCAUAGAUAUACAUAUAUACCAUACCUACAUAACAUACAACUCGAAACGAGAGCGCACCAAUAAUAUACAUACUAUAAAGAGUACGAGUAUAGUAAUUCGAUUCAAUUGUAUGCCGAUAGUUUAUCAAAUCAGAUCUAUGAAAUAUGUAUCUAAAAAUUUGCUUAGGAAAAGGACAGCGGAUCGCCCUCCUUCCUGCGUAGCUCCGUGAAUCGUAUUGUGUGUUUUAACCGAACCAAACCAAACCGAAUCGAAUCGAAUUGAUUCGACUCGACUCUACAGAAUUCAACGUGGAAGGAGGCACCUGUAAUUAUAUAUAUAUGUAUGUAAAUGAUAUAUGUAUAUUAGUUUGCAUUUGUGUCGUUGCCUAGCCUUCGGUUAGCUAAAUUGUUCUGGAAUUUUCCUCUUCACCGAUUGUUUCUGUUUCGCACCAAAUUGUUAAUGAAUUAACUUAUGUAAAGCAGACAGAAUAUAACCUAUUGCAGCUGUCGAUCGGUGAGCGGUGGCGGGUCGAGAGUAGAUUGCUCAGAUCCGACCCGACCCGAUCCGAUCCAAAUGCAAAUGUAAAUAAGUCAAGUUAAACAAUUAAGCAUCACACACCAGACAAACAGAGGAGGAAGAUGAGGAGGAGAAGACGAUGAAAGGCGACACGUAAAGGAAUAUAUAAACUAUAAUAAUAGCCUCCCUCUUUAUACAUAUAUAAAUAUAUAUAUAUAUAUUUAAUACGAGUAAUCAAAAGUUAAAUUGUAACCCCCCAAAAGUAUUGCACAUAUGUAUGUAUUCUAUAUUCUUUCCAAAUUGAAUUGCAAUUCCUGUUUUUUUUUUUGUGUGUCAUUUUUGUUGUUAAACCGCUUUUAAAUGUAAAUGAAUGCGAUUAGUCCAGCAAGAAUUAAAUUUUAUAUACAAUACUUGGUAGCCCCUUUAUUCUAACCCUCUAACCCCUUGAUAUCAAUUCAAUUAUGGCGGAGUCAGAGCAAGUAGCCCCCGCAGUGGCAGGGAUCGCUGAAACUCCCUCGAUCCAGGCUCUGUGCCGACCUCCAGAAAGGAUCGAUGGGGGUCUGCUCUUCUGGUCUAUACAUAGUAUAACAUGCAUACAUAUAUGAAAUUCAAUUAAUGAUAAUUACAUUUUACGGAUUUGCGUGUGUAUUUAUUGUUCAAGUACAAGUCAAAAGCAAAAGCAAAAACAAAACAAAACAAAAAA
Drosophila pseudoobscura is the source of this 2628-nucleotide RNA transcript. It is a transcript of the gene named Cysteine string protein, with no coding region annotated. NCBI's taxonomy places the organism in Eukaryota, Metazoa, Arthropoda, Insecta, Diptera, Drosophilidae. The record is from RefSeq and is a predicted model, not a curated record. The transcript has 7 exons.